This 1734-nucleotide long non-coding RNA is filed under the name Olea europaea (common olive). RNAcentral's name for it is "long non-coding RNA (OEUR_LNC006304)". Lineage: Eukaryota; Viridiplantae; Streptophyta; Magnoliopsida; Lamiales; Oleaceae. The record is from RNAcentral.
UGCAACAAUUAACUCCAUAAGAGUUGUCCACUCCUAAAGUUGAACUGAAAACAUCAAAGUCGAUCUACAGUCUACGGAUGUGAUACCAAUACAAACUCCAAUCAUUCAUCUUCUUAACGUUCUCACACCAAUUUCUCUGGACAUUUAUGCCAAUCCCCAUUUGCUUCCCCAAAAAUAUAUUUGUUUCUCCUUCACCAUCUGGUCUCAAUUCCAGAUUUCAUUUGCCACUGUCAUACAGAUACCCUACAGUUGCAGUCACCCAAUCGCCAUUCGGCUUUCGAGCUUCAGAUUCCAGUCGGAGCUCCUCAUCUUCUCUCAAAUGUAAGUAAAAAUAAAGACAACAUUGCAAGAUUUUUUUUUUUUUAAAAUUAUGAAAGGGAAUCUAUUCAUUGUUUGGAGGGUGAUUUUAUGAUUUCAUGCUCUUCAGUUUUUAGCUUGAUUGACUUGCUGUAGUUUUGAUUUGAUUGAUGUUUAUUGUUUCGAUUUCGUGUUGGAAGGUAGACGUUGUUUCCCCAUACUAAUUUAUAAUGCAGAAUUUUUAUUUUUUCUGUUAUUAGCCCAGACAUUUCACUAGCUCCUGUUCUUCUUUACAUUUUUUUGUUGUGAUUUUACGGAAGAUUUUGUUGAAAUAUCGAGAACUUGAACAUAAAAUAUGUUACGAAGAAUACUGAAUAAAUGGCAGGAGUGUGAAGAACUCGGUUUUUUUCUUCAUUAACAACCUAAAAAUAUGAAGCGUUAAUCUUGCUCAUAAAGAAAGCAAGAAAAACUCCCACCAUGGCAAACUUUGAAAACUGAUCUAAUUUAUUAAAACUCUUACUGAUUAUAAAAUAAUAAUAAUAAAGAAAGAUAAAAAUGAUGGCCAUUAAGCCAUAUCCUCCACUACACCCAAUAACAUCUGUAUAUCUAUGAUAAUUUCAAGUAUCUGCAGCGUUCUUUUGUGACAUUGAAAGAUACAAUGAAAACAAUAGUUGAUAGAGAGGUCUUGGUAACAAUAGACACUAUUAAUGAAGAAUUAAAGGUAAAAUAUUGGUCAUAAAACAAUCUAAGUUUUGGAUAAUCUGUAAAUUUUGAGAGCUUUUAUAUUAUUACAGGCACCUAAAAGAAAAAAUUGGAGUCAUAUUAUAUACGUAGACUAAAGAUGGUGUAAUGUGUACCUGUGUGCUUUUUAGUGCCCUAAGAAAAGGGGAAAAAGUGCUUCAUUUCUUUGUUGCAAGUGCAAUGUACAUUAAAUGAGUUAUCUACGUUAUGGAUGAGGAAAAAUUCAUGUACUGAAUCUUCAGCACAGGUCUACCAAAACCUUGGUUGUUUUAUUUUUCCUACUAUGAAGGGAAAAAUCUAAGUCAAAGUCGACCACUUAUUACAUUCUGUGUACCACAUAUUUUCAAAUGUCAAAAAUUAGAGAUAUAAAACCGUACAUACAUGAAAAUGAUAACUAUAUCCAUUUAGUUGAGCUCACAAAGCUAGCAACGAUAUAUCUUUCUUUUUUUUGGUGGAUGAGCAUAAUAUAUAUCUUUAUCAAUUUCAUUCGGACCUUUUUUUCUCUCUCACUAUUUCUAUGGCCUAAAUAUUUGUCUGUUUUCAGACAUUUAAACACUAAGGAGUUCUUGAUUAUCAGUAAAAGAUGGAACUACUUAUCCCUCUAAAAGACAUCCUGAAAGUUUCAUCAAGUUUCCGGAAAUAAGUGAUAUUUGAUCUGUACAAUUUCAUUUUCUGAAGAAGUUUGUUAGGACCAUG